This is a long non-coding RNA of Esox lucius (northern pike), 1937 nucleotides long. The record is from Ensembl. NCBI's taxonomy places the organism in Eukaryota, Metazoa, Chordata, Actinopteri, Esociformes, Esocidae.
GUGGUACCCGAGCGCACGCUCAUUAAUGUGUCUGUAGCCUACACUGAUGCGCCUGGCGCCAGUAAAUUCCAUAUCAAGCGAGCGGGGCGGAGUCGCGGGAGAGCAGUGACCUCCUGUAGGCCAAUCACAGAUAAGUAUAGCUGCAAUUGGCUCAUGUAUCUAUGCUCUUUCAAUUUCUAUUCCAAACAGUAAUGCCCCGGACCAAAAAACUAAAAGACAUAUCAAUCAGCAGUGUAAUUUCUCGGGGGUCUUUUCUCUCUCGUGAAGCUCACAGAAAGACCAAUUGGCCGCUGAUAAUGUCUUCUUUUACCAUGACUCAGACGGACGGAUGGAGGCAAAUUGAAACUAUAAAUGAUGGAGGAGGAUGCGCCUGGGCCCAGAGGAGGGGGGGUCCUCUCUCAAGGACACAGCAGCAUUGUCUCACAGGGGUGCUAUCCUUACAGAGCAGUACUGAGCCCUUGGAGCAGUCCUCUACAACAGAGCAAAUGAGUUGCAACAGGAAUUUCAAAUAUCAAAAAAGCCACAGCGGGAGAGUCAUCAGAGUGGAGAGAAAGACACAAACCAACUGAUGCAUUAUUGUCCUUCACUCAUAUGACUAGAUGGAAGCUGGGCACUGGGGUACAUGAACACAGCACACAGCCCAUCCUCGUGAAAGUCGAAACCCAGCACUGAAUUUAAAAACAAUGCCUUUUCAGCUUUAAAAAAAACCUUGAUCCAUUUACUCUGUGAAGCUGGCAUAGGUUUGAAUUGAAUAAGUUAUAUGACGUAUUCAGCCUUUCAAAUAUUGAGACUGUCCAAUGAAUCUGAUACUCCGUGAUCCCCAUCACCAUCCCCUAACCGUAAUUCUGAUCUUAACACACACUCUAACCUCCAUAACCUAGCCUUUAUGCCUAAACUUAACCUAAUACUACCGGCUUACCCUAAACCUAACCUGAGAUGUCAAAACCUAAAAGUGAGUCCAAUUCUAACACCAACCUUAAUUUAAUUUUUUUUGCCCCAAUCACAAUAUCUACAUGGUUAAAAAAUAAGAGACUUUUCCCUAGUUGGACCAGCUAAUAAACCUAAUGGGGACCUAUUUGUCAGGUUUAAUAAUCUGAAAUAGGAUUUCUGUUUCACAAAAGUGUUGUAAAACCUGGAUCACACACACAUACAGAAAGGUUGGGGGAGUGUGAGGGGACUGAUAGGUGAUAUGUAAAUACUGCACUUGUGGAGUUUUAAGUGAAAUUGUAAGUACAUUUUAUGAGGUAAGAAAAUCUAUCUGCUCACCCUAGAUAAUAGCCCAUCUGUAGGAAAUAAUCUAGUCACAAGUGGUCAAAAUGAAUUUUUGCAUUCAAAUGGAUAGGACUUUUAAAUUUAUUUAAUAUGUCCAACUCCUCAAGGACACCAUAAUUGAAACUAGUGAUGCAACUUCUCUAUUAACACAGACUCUUUUGAAUUUCAUGGCUAGCUUGGAACGCAACUAAAGCAGAUAGAUAUUAGCUAAUCUUUAAUUGCGUAAUGCUGCAUUAGUUUACAGAAAAGUUAAUUAUAUCGAGGGAAAAAGGUUUUUAUCCACUUUGUUGAUAGUGAGGAAACAUUCAAAGCCCUAGAUCUUAAGAAGUGUCCACAGAGUUUAUACACAUACCUUUGUUGACGAUACACAUGUUUUUGCCGAGCCUGAUGAGUUUAGAUGUAAUAAACGUUUCUGCAAACCUAUAUUACAUUCUGCAACUAAAGCUAAUGUGUUGCUACUUUAGUUGCGGUCGAAGCUAACUGAGAUCAUUAAACUGUUGUCAUUUCUUCUGUGUAAUGGGGGUUGAUGGAGUCUUAAUUCUUUGGAAACACAUGGUUAUACUGACAUAUAUCAAUAUAACACUGACGUUGAUCUCAAACCUAUGAUUGGUUAUCCAAGAUCUGCAUUAUUCCAUGACAAUCUACAACCAUCUACAUUUUCACGA